Molecule: ribosomal RNA, 425 nt
Filed under: uncultured bacterium
Lineage: Bacteria
Description: partial 16S ribosomal RNA
Rfam family: Bacterial small subunit ribosomal RNA
Source: RNAcentral
GUGGGGAAUCUUGCGCAAUGGGCGAAAGCCUGACGCAGCCAUGCCGCGUGAAUGAUGAAGGUCUUAGGAUUGUAAAAUUCUUUCACCGGGGACGAUAAUUACGGUACCCGGAGAAGAAGCUCCGGCUAACUUCGUGCCAGCAGCCGCGGUAAUACGAAGGGGGCUAGCGUUGCUCGGAAUUACUGGGCGUAAAGGGCGCAUAGGCGGACAGCUUAGUCAGAGGUGAAAGCCCAGGGCUCAACCUUGGAAUUGCCUUUGAUACUGGCUGUCUUGAGUUUGGGAGAGGUGAGUGGAACUCCGAGUGUAGAGGUGAAAUUCGUAGAUAUUCGGAAGAACACCUGUGGCGAAGGCGACUCACUGGCCCGUUACUGACGCUGAGGCGCGAAAGCGUGGGGAGCAAACAGGAUUAGAUACCCCGGUAGUCC